AUGUUUGGCAAAUAUUUCCAACUGUGGCUUCUUCCAUUCGACUAUCCCCUUGACUUAGUGAUCACCCUUGCAGAAUUUUGUCAAAACUUUGAAGAAGAAACCAGCCGACUGGAGCCAAACCUUGACCCCGUCAAUUCUCCGGUGAAUGACGAAGUUGCCAUGGAUGUUUUCCGACUGGAGUCUCGUGUUGCAGCUGUCGUGGACUAUCUCGCAAGGCUGAAGGCCGCCACAUCUCGCAUCGACUCGACGCUCUGGCCUGAGGAGACACUUCAGAAUGACCUUGAGUCACUAAUGGCCCGCUUGAACACGAUCCCUGGUCGAGUGCAGGAAUGGAAGAAGUCCUCGGCUCGGUGUGGUGCAGAUGUCGCUCUGUGUCUGGCCCGAGUCCACUGCAAAGAUGCACGAGAGGAGAAGCUGGCGGCUCUUCGGGUGGCCAAUACCAAGAAGCACGACUUCAGGUCCUUUAUGGAGACUUUCCUUGCAGCUGCCACUCGGAUCGCCGACGGAAUUGACCUUGAUGAAUUUGUUGCACCUUCCAGCCCUCCACAGGAGGGGUAA
RNAcentral lists this ribosomal RNA (558 nucleotides) under Triticum aestivum (bread wheat). Its description in RNAcentral is "partial small subunit ribosomal RNA". The record is from RNAcentral. Lineage: Eukaryota; Viridiplantae; Streptophyta; Magnoliopsida; Poales; Poaceae.